AGUGAACGCUGGCGGUAGGCCUAACACAUGCAAGUCGAACGGCAGCACAGUAAGAGCUUGCUCUUACGGGUGGCGAGUGGCGGACGGGUGAGGAAUACAUCGGAAUCUACUUUUUCGUGGGGGAUAACGUAGGGAAACUUACUCUAAUACCGCAUACGACCUACGGGUGAAAGCAGGGGAUCUUCGGACCUUGCGCGAUUGAAUGAGCCGAUGUCGGAUUAGCUAGUUGGCGGGGUAAAGGCCCACCAAGGCGACGAUCCGUAGCUGGUCUGAGAGGAGGAUCAGCCACACGGGAACUGAGACACGGUCAAGACUCCUACGGGAGGCAGCAGUGGGGAAUAUUGGACAAUGGGCGCAAGCAUGAUACAGCCAUACCGAGUGGGUGAAGAAGGCCUUCGGGUUGUAAAGCCCUUUUGUUGGGAAAGAAAAGCAGCAGGUUAAUACCCCGCUGUUCCGACGGUACCCAAAGAAUAAGCACCGGCUAACUUCGUG
This 492-nucleotide ribosomal RNA is filed under the name uncultured bacterium. RNAcentral describes it as "partial 16S ribosomal RNA". It matches the Rfam family "Bacterial small subunit ribosomal RNA", at positions 29 to 507 of the family's 1533-position model. The record is from RNAcentral.